GGAUGAACGCUAGCGGGAGGCUUAACACAUGCAAGUCGAGGGGCAUCACGAGGUAGCAAUACUUUGGUGGCGACCGGCGCACGGGUGAGUAACACGUAUGCAACCUUCCCUGUACAGGGGGAUAACCCGGAGAAAUUCGGACUAAUACCCCAUGAUGAUAUUUAUGGGCAUCCAUUGAUAUUUAAAGCUCUGGCGGUACAGGAUGGGCAUGCGCGACAUUAGCUAGUUGGUAAGGUAACGGCUUACCAAGGCUACGAUGUUUAGGGGACCUGAGAGGGUUGUCCCCCACACUGGUACUGAGACACGGACCAGACUCCUACGGGAGGCAGCAGUGAGGAAUAUUGGUCAAUGGGCGCAAGCCUGAACCAGCCAUCCCGCGUGAAGGAAGAAUGCGCUACGCGUUGUAAACUUCUUUUCCAGGGGGAGAAUAAUCCUGUCGUGACAGGACUUGACGGUACUCUGGGAAUAAGCAUCGGCUAACUCCGUGCCAGCAGCCGCGGUAAUACGGAGGAUGCGAGCGUUAUCCGGAUUUAUUGGGUUUAAAGGGUGCGUAGGCGGAUUGAUAAGUCAGUGGUGAAAUUCUACAGCUUAACUGUAGACUUGCCGUUGAUACUGUUAGUCUUGAGUGUGGUCAAGGCAGGCGGAAUGUGUAAUGUAGCGGUGAAAUGCUUAGAUAUUACACAGAACACCGAUUGCGAAGGCAGCUUGCUGGGUCAUUACUGACGCUGAUGCACGAAAGCGUGGGGAUCAAACAGGAUUAGAUACCCUGGUAGUCCACGCCGUAAACUAUGAUCACUCGCUGUUGGCGAUACACAGUCAGCGGCUAAGCAAAAGCAUUAAGUGAUCCACCUGGGGAGUACGGCCGCAAGGCUGAAACUCAAAGGAAUUGACGGGGGCCCGCACAAGCGGUGGAGCAUGUGGUUUAAUUCGAUGCAACGCGAAGAACCUUACCUGGGCUUGACAUCCCAAGAAUCCCCUGGAAACAGGGGAGUGCCCUUCGGGGAGCUUGGAGACAGGUGCUGCAUGGCUGUCGUCAGCUCGUGUCGUGAGAUGUUGGGUUAAGUCCCGCAACGAGCGCAACCCUUGCCUUUAGUUGCCAUCAUUCAGUUGAGCACUCUAAAGGGACCGCCGGUGUCAAACCGGAGGAAGGUGGGGAUGACGUCAAGUCCUCAUGGCCUUUAUGCCCAGGGCUACACACGUGCUACAAUGGGCGGUACAAAGAGCAGCGAGCUCGCGAGGGUAAGCAAAUCUCAAAAAGCCGUCCUCAGUUCGGAUUGGAGUCUGCAACUCGACUCCAUGAAGUUGGAAUCGCUAGUAAUCGCAGAUCAGCAUGCUGCGGUGAAUACGUUCCCGGGCCU
Molecule: ribosomal RNA, 1358 nt
Filed under: uncultured bacterium
Lineage: Bacteria
Description: bacterial SSU rRNA
Rfam family: Bacterial small subunit ribosomal RNA
Source: RNAcentral